This 450-nucleotide ribosomal RNA is filed under the name uncultured bacterium. RNAcentral describes it as "partial 16S ribosomal RNA". It matches the Rfam family "Bacterial small subunit ribosomal RNA", at positions 354 to 796 of the family's 1533-position model. The record is from RNAcentral.
GUGGGGAAUAUUGGACAAUGGGCGAAAGCCUGAUCCAGCCAUGCCGCGUGUGUGAAGAAGGUCUUCGGAUUGUAAAGCACUUUAAGUUGGGAGGAAGGGCAGUAAGUUAAUACCUUGCUGUUUUGACGUUACCGACAGAAUAAGCACCGGCUAACUUCGUGCCAGCAGCCGCGGUAAUACGAAGGGUGCAAGCGUUAAUCGGAAUUACUGGGCGUAAAGCGCGCGUAGGUGGUUUUGUAAGCUGGAGGUGAAAUACCCGGGCUCAACCUGGGAACUGCCUCCAAAACUGCAUGACUAGAGUACGGUAGAGGGUAGUGGAAUUUCCUGUGUAGCGGUGAAAUGCGUAGAUAUAGGAAGGAACACCAGUGGCGAAGGCGACUACCUGGACUGAUACUGACACUGAGGUGCGAAAGCGUGGGGAGCAAACAGGAUUAGAUACCCGAGUAGUCC